This 109-nucleotide ribosomal RNA is filed under the name Macaca nemestrina (pig-tailed macaque). Lineage: Eukaryota; Metazoa; Chordata; Mammalia; Primates; Cercopithecidae. The record is from RNAcentral.
GUCUAUGGCCAUACCACCCUGAACGCGCCUGAUCUCGGAAGCUAAGCAGGCUUGGACCUGGCUGGUACUUGGAUGGGAGACCGCCUGGGAAUACUGGGUGCUGUAGACU